RNAcentral lists this ribosomal RNA (254 nucleotides) under uncultured bacterium. RNAcentral describes it as "partial 16S ribosomal RNA". It matches the Rfam family "Bacterial small subunit ribosomal RNA", at positions 524 to 776 of the family's 1533-position model. The record is from RNAcentral.
GACAUAGGUGGCGAACGUUAUCCGGAAUUAUUGGGCGUAAAGGAUGCGUAGAUGGUAGAAUAAGUUAUUGGUCGAUGCCAAACUCAAUUUGGCGGAAGCUGGUAAUACUGUUCAACUAGAGGACAGGAGAGGUUGAUGGAAUUCUGUGUGGAGCGGUGAAAUGCGUUGAUCUACAGAGGAACACCAAAAAAGGCGAAGGCAGUCGACUAUUCUGUUCCUGACAUUGAGGCAUGAAAGCGUGGGGAGCAAACCGG